Molecule: ribosomal RNA, 492 nt
Filed under: uncultured bacterium
Lineage: Bacteria
Description: partial 16S ribosomal RNA
Rfam family: Bacterial small subunit ribosomal RNA
Source: RNAcentral
AGUGAACGCUGGCGGCAGGCCUAAUACAUGCAAGUCGAACGGCAGCACAGUAAGCGUUCGCUCUUGCGGGUGGCGACUGGCGGACGGGUAAGGCGUACAUCGGCUUCUAUUUUUUCGUGGGGGACAAUGUAGGGCAAUUUCUGAUACUACCGCAUACGACCUACGGGUUAAAGCAGGGGUUCUUCGGACCUUUCCUGCACUACUGAGCGGAUGUCGGAUUAGCUAGUUGGUGGGGUAAAGGCCCACCAAGGCGAGGAUCCGUAGCUGGCCUGAGAGGAUGAUCGGCCACACUGGAACUGAGACACGGUCCAGACUCCUACGGGAGGCAGCAGUGGGGAAUAUUGGACAAAGGGCGCAAGCCGGACGCAGCCAUACCGCGUGGGUGAGGAAGGCCUUCGGGUUGUAAAGCCCUUUUGUUGGGAAAGAAAAGCGGCAGAUUAAAACCCCGCUGUUCUGACGGUACCCAAAGAGAAAGCACCGGCUAACUACGUG